GAUGAACGCUGGCGGCGUGCUUAACACAUGCAAGUCGAACGGAAAGGCUCCUGCUUGCCGGGGUACUCGAGUGGCGAACGGGUGAGUAACACGUGGGUGAUCUGCCCUGCACUUCGGGAUAAGCCUGGGAAACUGGGUCUAAUACCGGAUAGGACCACAUUUUGGAUGGUGUGGUGGAAAGUUUUUCGGUGUGGGAUGAGCUCGCGGCCUAUCAGCUUGUUGGUGGGGUAAUGGCCUACCAAGGCGUCGACGGGUAGCCGGCCUGAGAGGGUGUACGGCCACAUUGGGACUGAGAUACGGCCCAGACUCCGACGGGAGGCAGCAGGGGGGAAUAUUGCACAAUGGGCGCAAGCCUGAUGCAGCGACGCCGCGUGGGGGAUGACGGCCUUCGGGUUGUAAACUCCUUUCGCUAGGGACGAAGCGUUUUUGUGACGGUACCUGGAGAAGAAGCACCGGCUAACUACGUG
RNAcentral lists this ribosomal RNA (467 nucleotides) under uncultured bacterium. Its description in RNAcentral is "partial 16S ribosomal RNA". It matches the Rfam family "Bacterial small subunit ribosomal RNA", at positions 28 to 507 of the family's 1533-position model. The record is from RNAcentral.